UACGGGGGGUGCGAGCGUUGUCCGGAAUCACUGGGCGUAAAGGGCGCGUAGGUGGUCUUGUAAGUCUGUGGUGAAAGCCCGGGGCUCAACCCCGGGUCUGCCAUGGAUACUGCGAGACUUGAGUGCUGUAGAGGCAGGUAGAAUAUCGGGUGUAGCGGUGGAAUGCGUAGAGAUCCGAUAGAAGACCGGUGGCGAAGGCGGCCUGCUGGGCAGUAACUGACACUGAGGCGCGACAGCGUGGGGAGCAAACAGG
RNAcentral lists this ribosomal RNA (253 nucleotides) under uncultured bacterium. RNAcentral's name for it is "partial 16S ribosomal RNA". It matches the Rfam family "Bacterial small subunit ribosomal RNA", at positions 524 to 776 of the family's 1533-position model. The record is from RNAcentral.